RNAcentral lists this ribosomal RNA (2830 nucleotides) under human gut metagenome. RNAcentral's name for it is "bacterial LSU rRNA". It matches the Rfam family "Bacterial large subunit ribosomal RNA". The record is from RNAcentral.
UCAAGCUAAUAAGAGCGCAGGGAGGAUGCCUUGGCAUUGGGAGCCGACGAAGGACGUGGUAAGCUGCGAAAAGCUGCGGGGAAUUGCAAGCAAGUAUUGAUCCGCAGAUGUCCGAAUGGAGCAAUCCGUUAAGAGUAAUAUCUUAACAUCAUAUACUGAAUCAAUAGGUAUAUGAGGGGAACCGCCUGAACUGAAACAUCUAAGUAGGGCGAGGAAAAGAAAUCAACCGAGAUUCCGAAAGUAGCGGCGAGCGAAAUCGGAAGAGGCUAAACCGAACUCAGAAAUGAGAUCGGGGUUUAGGACUGCAUUUAGUAUUGAAAUGAGCGAGCAGAAUGCUUUGGGAAAAGCAGCCGAAGAACGUGAGAGCCGUGUAAGCGAAGUGAGUUUCAGCGAGCAGUAUCCAAAGUACCGCGGGGCACGUGAAAUCCCGUGGGAAGAUGGGGGGACCACCCUCCAAGCCUAAAUACUACCCAAUGACCGAUAGCGAAUAGUACUGUGAAGGAAAGGUGAAAAGCACCCCGGGAGGGGAGUGAAAAAGAACCUGAAACCCUGUGCUUACAAGCACUGAGAGCUCGUCAAAGAGUGAUCAGGUACCUAUUGUAGAAUGGUCCGGCGAGUUAUGAUAUGCAGCAAGGUUAAGUACUUAAGGUACGGAGCCGCAGCGAGAGCGAGUCUGAAUAGGGCGUAAAGUUGUAUGUCAUAGACCCGAAACCGAGUGACCUAGCCAUGUCCAGGCUGAAGUGGAGGUAAAACUCCAUGGAGGGCCGAACCGACCUCCGUUGAAAAGGCGGCGGAUGAGGUGUGGCUAGCGGAGAAAUUCCAAUCGAACUCGGAUAUAGCUGGUUCUCUCCGAAAUAGCUUUAGGGCUAGCGUUGCAACAGAUUACCGGAGGUAAAGCACUGAAUAGGCUAGGGGGCGAGAGCUUACUGAACCUUAUCAAACUAAGAAUGCCGGAUAAUUGAUUUGCAGCAGUCAGACAGUGUGAGAUAAGUUUCAUUGUCAAAAGGGAAACAGCCCAGACCCACAGCUAAGGUCCCAAAGUACAUUUGAGUGGAAAAGGAUGUGGGGUUGCAUAGACAACCGGGAUGUUGGCUUAGAAGCAGCCAUACAUUAAAAGAGUGCGUAAUAGCUCACCGGUCGAGUGACCCUGCGCCGAAAAUUCAACGGGGCUAAAAUGUACACCGAAGCUUGGGAUUGUACUAUGUACAGUGGUAGGAGAGCGUCGAAUAUGGGGUGAAGUCAGAGCGGAAGCGCUGGUGGACUGUAUUCGAGUGAGAAUGCCGGAAUGAGUAGCGAGAAUUAUGUGAGAAUCAUAAUGGCCGAAAGUCUAAGGUUUUGGAAGGAAGGUUCGUCCGCUUCCAGUAAGCCGGGAGCUAAGGUGAGGCCGAAAGGCGUAGCCGAUGCACAUACGGUUGAAAUUCCGUAGCCUCCGAAGUAUUUAAACAGAAGGACACUUGAGAAGUGAUGAUGCCGGGCGAUGGUUGACCCGGUCGUAAGGGACCGAAAUUUAGUAGGGAAGUCAUCAUGGAUCGAGGCGAGAAAAGUUCUGUGAAUAUACAAGGAGCCCGUACCGCAAACCGACACAGGUAGAUAGGAAGAAAAUUCUAAGGCCAACGGGAGAAGGGUUGUUAAGGAACUCGGCAAGUUGACCCCGUAACUUCGGAAUAAGGGGUGCUCUCGAGAGAGAGCCGCAGAGAAUAGGCCCAGGCGACUGUUUAGCAAAAACACAGCUCUAUGCUAAAUCGAAAGAUGAUGUAUAUGGGGUGACACCUGCCCGGUGCCGGAAGGUUAAGAGGAGGCGUGAGAGCGCUGAAUUGAAGCCCCGGUAAACGGCGGCCGUAACUAUAACGGUCCUAAGGUAGCGAAAUUCCUUGUCAGGUAAGUUCUGACCCGCACGAAUGGUGUAACGAUCUGGGCACUGUCUCAACAACCCGCCCGGCGAAAUUGUAGUACCGGUGAAGAUGCCGGUUACCCGCGACUAGACGGAAAGACCCCAUGGAGCUUUACUGCAGCUUAAUGUUGAAUUUCGGUAUUUCAUGUACAGGAUAGGUGGGAGACUGGGAACUACAGGCGUCAGCUUGUGGGGAGUCACUGUUGGGAUACCACUCUUGAAGUGCUGGAAUUCUAACCUGCGGCCUUGAAUCAGGUCGGGGGACAUCGUUAGGCGGGCAGUUUGACUGGGGCGGUCGCCUCCAAAAGAGUAACGGAGGCGCUCAAAGGUCAGCUCAGCAUGGAUGGAAACCAUGCAAGUGAGUGCAAACGCAAAAGCUGGCCUAACUGCGAGACUGACGGGUCGAGCAGUAACGAAAGUUGGAGUUAGUGAUCCGGCGGUAUGUGAGUGGAAAUGCCGUCGCUCAACGGAUAAAAGCUACCCUGGGGAUAACAGGCUGAUCUCCCCCAAGAGUCCACAUCGACGGGGAGGUUUGGCACCUCGAUGUCGGCUCAUCACAUCCUGGGGCUGUAUUCGGUCCCAAGGGUUCGGCUGUUCGCCGAUUAAAGUGGUACGCGAGCUGGGUUCAGAACGUCGCGAGACAGUUCGGUCCCUAUCUGUCGUGGGCGCAGGAUAUUUGAGGAGCUCUGUCCUUAGUACGAGAGGACCGGGAUGGACGUACCUCUGGUGCACCAGUUGUCAUGCCAAUGGCACGGCUGGGCAGCUAUGUACGGAACGGAUAAACGCUGAAAGCAUCUAAGCGUGAAGCCGACUCCAAGAUUAGAUAUCCCAUCGUAUAACGAGUAAGACCCCUUGAAGACUACGAGGUUGAUAGGCUGCGUGUGUAAGUGCCGUGAGGCAUUCAGCUUGGCAGUACUAAUAGGUCGAGGGCUUGACCAC